This 467-nucleotide ribosomal RNA is filed under the name uncultured bacterium. RNAcentral describes it as "partial 16S ribosomal RNA". It matches the Rfam family "Bacterial small subunit ribosomal RNA", at positions 28 to 506 of the family's 1533-position model. The record is from RNAcentral.
GACGAACGCUGGCGGCGUGCUUAACACAUGCAAGUCGAACGGAAAGGCCCUGCUUUUGUGGGGUGCUCGAGUGGCGAACGGGUGAGUAACACGUGAGUAACCUGCCCUUGACUUUGGGAUAACUUCAGGAAACUGGGGCUAAUACCGGAUAGGAGCUCCUGCUGCAUGGUGGGGGUUGGAAAGUUUCGGCGGUUGGGGAUGGACUCGCGGCUUAUCAGCUUGUUGGUGGGGUAGUGGCUUACCAAGGCUUUGACGGGUAGCCGGCCUGAGAGGGUGACCGGCCACAUUGGGACUGAGAUACGGCCCAGACUCCUACGGGAGGCAGCAGUGGGGAAUAUUGCACAAUGGGCGGAAGCCUGAUGCAGCAACGCCGCGUGCUGGAUGACGGCCUUCGGGUUGUAAACCGCUUUCGCCUGUGACGAAGCGUGAGUGACGGUAAUGGGUAAAGAAGCACCGGCUAACUACGU